RNAcentral lists this ribosomal RNA (497 nucleotides) under uncultured bacterium. Its description in RNAcentral is "partial 16S ribosomal RNA". The stretch from base 64 to 497 matches the Rfam family "Bacterial small subunit ribosomal RNA", at positions 39 to 507 of the family's 1533-position model. The record is from RNAcentral.
GGGGGGGGGGGGGGGGGGGGGGGGGGGGGGGGGGGGGGGCGGGCGGGCGGGGGGGGGGGGGGGGGGGCGUGAGCGGGGGACGGGGGGGGGGCACGGGGAUAGCCGGCCUGUGGGGCUGGGGGCACUUCGGGAGAGCGGGGCUAAUACCGGAUGGUAUAUUGAACCGCGUGGUUCAGUAGUGCACUACGGUUUUCAGGGCCCUUAUCGAGGGAUCCGCGCCGCAUUAGCUAGUUGGUAAGGUAACGGCUUACCAAGGCAACGAUGCGUAGCCGACCUGAGAGGGUGAUCGGCCACACUGGAACGGAGACACGGUCCAGACUCCUACGGGAGGCAGCAGUAGGGAAUCUUCCGCAAUGGGCGAAAGCCUGACGGAGCAACGCCGCGUGAGUGAUGAAGGUCUUCGGAUCGUAAAGCUCUGUUAUUAGGGAAGAACAAAUGUGUAAGUAACUAUGCACGUCUUGACGGUACCUAAUCAGAAAGCAACGGCUAACUACGUG